Molecule: unclassified non-coding RNA, 145 nt
Filed under: soil metagenome
Description: partial internal transcribed spacer 1
Source: RNAcentral
UAAUAAGUGUUUUAUGGCACUUUUUAAAUCCAUAUCCACCUUGUGUGCAAUGUCAGUCGAUCUUCUUCAUGGAGAUCGACCAAACAUCAACCUUUAUUUUUAACACUUUGUCCUGAAAAAUAUUAUGAAUAAACAAUUCAAAAUA